AUGAAUCUAUUCUUGUUAAAACAGUUGAGACUUGUGAAGUAGUGAUCAUUUAUGUUGAGACGGCAUUCUACAAAAGAAACGCACAGAAAACAAAAGCUGAAGAGGAGAGUCAUGUGGUAUAUGCACCAACCAAAAUCGGAUGAUGAUCAAACUUUAAUAUUGUUCUAAGUACAAGACUCUUAUUGUCUUAUGAUUUUCAUUGGGAAUCUCCUGCCAUGACUUCAGACACUGUGGUCUUAUGGAUGAUCAUUUUCACUGCAGCUUUUCAUGUUUGCAAAACAUAGAUGCAAACUAUCCAUCCAGAGGUGAUAAAGUAAACUCUGCUGUGGUACGGAUUAUUUAUAUCUGUACAGAAAUGUGGUUUGAUCGGUGCAUGAGAAUGUGUCUACUGCUGGAUGCUUGCAUUUGAUGUCAGUUUGUUAGUGUGUGUCUGAGGUGUUAAAAGUGUCUGUUUGCGUGUGUAUCUGUGCAAGUGUGUGUCUAAGGUGUCAACAAUACAUCUGUAUGAGCGAGUGCCGUGCGAGUGUGUCGUGCGAGUGUGUAUGAGGUGUCAAUAGUGUGACUGUGAGUGUGUAUGAGGUGUCAGUCUGAGUGAUCACCAUGUCGUAGCAUGGAUUUUCCAUUUAUGUUCGUAUGAAACAGUUUACUUCUGCACUACAGGAAAGCCAUGUUACUUUAAAAUGGCAAAAAAAAGUGUCUCAAAUAAAGUGAUAUUAAUAUAAAAAAAACUUUACUUUGUGUGCUUGAUCAUUUUAUACAGUCAUCCUGCAGUUAGACAGAAUCUCUCAGAAAAACGCACAAAACUACCUUUUCAAAAAAUAAACCUUUGUAUCUUAUUAACCCCUAAGGGUGCAUAUUAGUAUCUAAAUUGGCAAAAGAGUAACACACAAGUGAGAACUUGAACCUUUUUUUGUAGUUUCAAUUAUAAGAAGAACUAUUCUUGAUCCCUUUUUUAUAACGGUUAUAUCCCAUUUUUCUCUGCCAUUUAAUUAAAUAAUAAAUGCAAUGUAUGAUUUACAAUUUAUGAUUAGUGAUUGAGGGGGUUAAUCAUUUAUUUUGUUUGCAGCAGCUUUGAUGAGAAACUAACAAACUAGUUUGUUUUUUCAGCAGCAUAACAGAACUCUACUCUACAGGUA
Carassius gibelio (silver crucian carp) is the source of this 1136-nucleotide long non-coding RNA. RefSeq lists it as uncharacterized. The transcript has 3 exons. NCBI's taxonomy places the organism in Eukaryota, Metazoa, Chordata, Actinopteri, Cypriniformes, Cyprinidae. The record is from RefSeq and is a predicted model, not a curated record.